This 253-nucleotide ribosomal RNA is filed under the name uncultured bacterium. RNAcentral's name for it is "partial 16S ribosomal RNA". It matches the Rfam family "Bacterial small subunit ribosomal RNA", at positions 524 to 776 of the family's 1533-position model. The record is from RNAcentral.
UACGAAGGGUGCAAGCGUUACUCGGAAUUACUGGGCGUAAAGCGUGCGUAGGUGGUUCGUUAAGUCUGAUGUGAAAGCCCUGGGCUCAACCUGGGAAUGGCAUUGGAUACUGGCGACCUAGAGUGCGGUAGAGGGGUGUGGAAUUCCCGGUGUAGCAGUGAAAUGCGUAGAUAUCGGGAGGAACAUCUGUGGCGAAGGCGACACCCUGGACCAGCACUGACACUGAGGCACGAAAGCGUGGGGAGCGAACAGG